RNAcentral lists this transfer RNA (77 nucleotides) under Fibrobacterota bacterium. RNAcentral describes it as "Fibrobacteres bacterium (aquatic metagenome) tRNA-Ile". It matches the Rfam family "tRNA". Rfam says of the family: Transfer RNA (tRNA) molecules are approximately 80 nucleotides in length. Their secondary structure includes four short double-helical elements and three loops (D, anti-codon, and T loops). Lineage: Bacteria; Pseudomonadati; Fibrobacterota. The record is from RNAcentral.
GGGUCUGUAGCUCAGUUGGUUAGAGCAUCGCUCUGAUAAGGCGGGGGUCGGAGGUUCAAGUCCUCCCAGGCCCACCA